Long non-coding RNA from Protobothrops mucrosquamatus (brown spotted pit viper), 284 nucleotides. RefSeq lists it as uncharacterized. NCBI's taxonomy places the organism in Eukaryota, Metazoa, Chordata, Lepidosauria, Squamata, Viperidae. The record is from RefSeq and is a predicted model, not a curated record. The transcript is spliced from 3 exons.
UCAUCCCAGCAACUAAUAAAAAUGGUACAGUGCAUUAUAGUAAGGAGACCACAGAUAACAAUACAGAACAUGGAAUUUAUAUUUCUUGGAAACCUCAAAGCAAGUUCAGUCAAUAUGUUGUUGAUUGGUGCAACCACCCCACAGGUCAUGCGUGUGAUUUUCAAUGGAAGAAGUAUGAGCAAAACAAAUCCAGUGAUCUCAUUACAUCUGAUGCCUUCAGCCAUGGAGUAAGAUAUACUUUUAAUGUGUAUGGAAUACAAGAUGGUACAAGUUAUUUAUUGGAA